Molecule: long non-coding RNA, 628 nt
Organism: Oreochromis aureus
Lineage: Eukaryota; Metazoa; Chordata; Actinopteri; Cichliformes; Cichlidae
Source: Ensembl
CAGAAUGCCAUCAAGCACCACCCUGCCUACCUGUGCCGAAAAGGGAAACAAAACCCAGGAACAACAACACGCAUGCCCACCAACUCCUAAUACCCAGAAAUCAUUCAGUGAGGUCAACAUCACCAUCUUCACUGAGAACAGAGCUGUGGUCUGCAGAGGCAACAACCAUGUUAGCACAAAUAAAGCUUCUGAAAACUUAACACUGUUCCAGCCAGACCAGCAGCCCAAGAGAGGAAAUGAUCUCCAUGGAAAGCCACAAAGCAGAUACCAUCUACAACUGUCCAGAAGUGACGGCCACCAUGGAGGAGGCCCUCCAAACAGACUGACUCAGUUUACAGCAUGUUGUGGAAGCCAAACAAAUCUGCUACAUACACAGAACCACCAAGAGGUCAAACAAGAUCUGUGAACAGGGGGAAACAAAAGGAAACAGAACAGAAACAAAAAAAAGAAACUGAACAUUUUUUUUUAUUUCAGACAGAUACUCCAAAUAAUGACUAAAGCACUUAAAAAAUAAUAGCAACCCUCCACCAAGGUAUCUCACUCUGGUGAAGAGCCUGAGGCCGGUGACACUCCAGUUCUACUCUAAGUACAUCCUUACGGUGGCUCACAGGACAAGGCGACAUUCCUG